RNAcentral lists this ribosomal RNA (200 nucleotides) under uncultured bacterium. RNAcentral's name for it is "partial 16S ribosomal RNA". It matches the Rfam family "Bacterial small subunit ribosomal RNA", at positions 8 to 217 of the family's 1533-position model. The record is from RNAcentral.
AGAGUUUGAUCCUGGCUCAGGACUAACGCUGGCGGCGUGCCUAACACAUGCAAGUCGAACGAGGUAGCAAUACCUAGUGGCAGACGGGUGAGUAACGCGUGGUCAACCUUCCCUUCAGUGGGGGAUAACUAGCCGAAAGGUUAGCUAAUACCGCAUACGAUCUUCGAGGGACAUCUCUUGAAGAUGAAAGGAGCAAUCCG